AUGCUCGCUUCAGCACGUAUACUAAAAUUGGAACAAUGCUGAGAAGAUUAGCAUGGCCCCUGUAUAAAGGAUAACACGCAAAUUCAUGAAGCAUUCCAUAUCUUA
Suricata suricatta (meerkat) is the source of this 105-nucleotide small nuclear RNA. The record is from Ensembl. NCBI's taxonomy places the organism in Eukaryota, Metazoa, Chordata, Mammalia, Carnivora, Herpestidae.